Molecule: small RNA, 86 nt
Filed under: Arabidopsis thaliana (thale cress)
Lineage: Eukaryota; Viridiplantae; Streptophyta; Magnoliopsida; Brassicales; Brassicaceae
Description: ATSL013960
Source: RNAcentral
AAAAUCUCUCUCUCUCUCUCUACAAUUUUUUUCUUCUUCUUCUUAAAAUUCUUCUGUGAAGUGUGCUUCUUCAAUUGGUAAUUCGA